Molecule: long non-coding RNA, 3951 nt
Organism: Acanthochromis polyacanthus (spiny chromis)
Lineage: Eukaryota; Metazoa; Chordata; Actinopteri; Pomacentridae
Exons: 2
Source: RefSeq, a predicted model, not a curated record
UGUUCAUUCCAAAAAGCACAAAGCAAACAAGAAACUCUUCCACUCUGAAUUUCAGCCACCAAUCAUUUAUCCAGGUCAUUGCUUAGUGUGGACACUAUCUUUCCACGCUUUAAGUCACUGAUUGAUGUUACGUACAAGUCUGUCACAAAACCUGAAGACAAUGCAAAGAAAAAGCAGGACAUCUACGCCAAGUAUGUGUUAUUGAGGUACUGUAAUAAUCUCAAUAUGUACACAAAUCCGGGCACAUAAACUUGAGCCAAGUUCAAAAUGUGAAUCCAAAACAGCUGCCACUUCAAAUAUUUUUAUGUUUAUUGUGCCUCCAAGUGGCUGCAUUUGUGCACACAUUGAGCUCAUUAAAUUCAAAAACUUAAGAGCACUGUGUGGAUUUAAUACAUUAUUCCAGAUGAUAUUGAGAUAUGCUAAGACGCUGGUAGUAGGGCAGAUUUAAGACAAAUAUGUGAGGAGCAGGAGGCUCAGAGACUGUCACACUAAUAAGUAAGUAUGUUUCCUAAAGUACUGUACUUGUGUCCACAUUGUAUUUAUUUUCAUACUUCUAAUCCACUACAUUUAGACAGAGAUGUUGCACUUCUCACUGCACAAUCUGUUCAGUUUAAUUCAGCAGUGUAUUAUUAAGUCCGUUAGAGAAGUAAAAAGAGUAAAAAUCUUUAUAAUUCUUUACAUAUAUCCAGCGCUCGAUUUAAGGCCGAGAGGUCCGGUCGCCCAAAUGACAUUUUUUGGGCCACCAACAUACGUCAAUUUAGACAUUUGUAGGAGCCAAAAUCAACUUUUAGUGGCCCAAAAAAUGAAUCCUACUUUUUUUUUGGGGGGGGGGGGAUCCAGUUCCUCCUCCACGUCAACUUGUUAGAUGAAGCCGCCGAGCUAUCACUGGUCGCUGGGCAAAGUGUGCAUUAAAACCCCCCACGGCCGUAAAAAGUCACCCACGAAUGAGCAGCACAUUGUUUGGCGCUCCUAGCCGGCAACUGGGACGUUGACAGCCGGAACAGCAGCCACAGGAAGGAGCUGUGGAACCAAGCAGAAGCAUCGCUUACCACCCAGACUUUGGUGGUGUUGGAGAUCCGGCCGUGCUUUUCGAACAUCCACUGAUGGUAGGAGAGCAGCAGUUUGAGGCAGAACCUGAGGGCCAGGAUGAGGGAGAGCCACAGCAGAGUGCUGAAGACCAGCGCUGACAACAUGGUCUGACCCUGGGCACUGAGGGACACGUGGAGACUGGACGGAGGGACGGGAAAGACAUUUGAACAAGAUAAAAGUGAGCAAAAAUAAUACUAUCUAAAAGAAAAAACUAAUAGUUUCUGAUUGGAAUGAAACACUAUGAAACAUAAAAAAGGCAGUGGAAAAAUGACAGAACAAAUAUAGUAAAAUCUGAUGUUAUAGAAAUACAAUUUAGAUGUUUUAAGACAUUAUUUCUGACCUCUAUUACUUUUGCAUGAUUAAGAUCUGUACAUACACAAACUGAAUACAUUUUUAUGACACAGUAAUUUGGUUGUAUGCAAUUAUGGAGACAUGUUGUUAGUCAUCUAUUACAAAUUAACAUAAUAACACCUUCGAAGACAAACUUUACAUGGUUUUGACUGUUAUUACUACCAUUAUAUGUGUCAAUCUUUUCUUACGGAUGCUGGCAUUUUAUUUGACUAAUGCAUUAAUAUGGAGUAAUAGCUGCUAUUUUAGUUUUGUUUUAGAGCAUUUACUGAAUGUUUAAAUACUGUACAAAUGACACAAAAGUGGACUUAACAGCCAAUCAAACAUAAACUCAUAAACUAUUUCUAUACAAAAAACACCAAUACCACAAUAACUUCUUGUAGAGAUCAGAUUAGCUGUAAACACCGGAGGAGUUUAAUUAGAUUAUUAAAUUAAUCGCCAUUAAAUUGUGUAAUUUUUAAGAAAAGUAGUCAAAUUAUCUAAUUAGAUAAUUCUGGUUCCUUUCAUUUUGGGUGAUGUACAAAACCAGACAUUUAGGGAAACACUGAUCAGCUAUUUUCAGCAUUUUCUGACAUUUCACGAACACUUAAUAUUUUGUAUAUCAACCUAACAACUAAUCGAUUAAUCAGAAAAUACACAAAUCCACAAUGAAAAUAUUCAUUAGUUGCAGCCAGGCACAAAUAGUGAUCUAUUCAUAUCAAUGAAUACAUCUUAACCACCAUAAAUAAUGUUUUUUUUCUGUGGCAAAAUUGAAAAAAAAUGAAUGACUGCCUAUUGCAGGUUCCACAUGUAAAACCUCCCUGUGAGGAAAUACAACAGUAUGAAAGUACAACAGCACCAUCUGCUGGAUGACUGAGGAAGCACAUUCUACUUCCUUAGUCACCCAGCAAUAGAGUUUUCCAAUAACACAAAGCAAAAAUCACAUAAAUUUAAUAAUAAUGCACCAAAAAGGAAACAAUAAUGUGUGCUAGCAGGACAAAAUUAGAUAGCAGUAAAAUAUAAAAGCAUAAAGGAAUGUAAUAAUGAAUGUAAUAAUGUGAAAAUAAAGCAUAAACAAUGAAAUCAAGACAAAUGAGUAAAGUUUAAUGGAAAACAUGCUGCAAAUUAAUGACAGAGAUAUUUUUCUGUGUGUAUGUUUUUGCUGAUUAAGUGCAUUUUAAGUGUUAGAAUCCACCAUGAGACGUCCAAACAGCUUUUCACAGAAAAUCUUAUGCUGGUUUAGGAACACAAUAUGCAUUCAGCUUUGGAAAGGCACACUUUUAGUUACAAUCAUGAGCAGGAACGCUGCUGUUUACACCUCUGCUCUGUUCAUUAUGUUCAUACACUUUGUUGAUCUCACAUCAAAUCUAAACUCAAUCAUUUCAGCAUGAUUAUUGUGUAAUAUAUUAGCGUGACUGGCUAUAAUGCAGACAGUUUGUAUACGUACGGUUAGUGAAAAGACUGGUAGGGAAGUAGGGGAAAGUUCAAGUGGAGGAACCAAACCCUGAGUGCUCUACGCUGAUUCAUCACCCAAACAUGCCAGAACUUUACUACGGUUGUUCAGAUGAGUCAAACAUAAGCCCUCCUGACUGGAAGUGCAUGUCAGACUGGUCUUAAACUGGAGCUGUCACUUCCAGCUGUUGGACUCUCUCGAGCGUUACACAUCACUCUCUGAGACUCUUUAAAGCAUAUAAAUAAACUGCAUUUCAAAUGAGAUCACGAGCUUUCGAUGCAACAGAUCACAGCGUUUGGAAGUCACAAAUGUAGAUAUAUAAUAGUAAAGUGUGACUUUAAAAUGCAAACAUUUCAGUUAGAACAAAAAGUGCAAGCUGCAAAAAUCACUGACAACUCAAAUCUGAAAUACAAAUUUGAGUGGCAUUUUACAGAAGCCCAUUUUCAGCUCACAAAAGAAAAAACUAUGGAGGCAGUAUAUCAUGAAUUUAACUCACUAUUCAAUCAUUUCUAGACAAAAAAAAAAAGUUUUUAAUUAUGAAAUCUGGAUCUUACUAAUGUGAGAUAAUGCGUAAUUAACUAAGCAGCCACAACUGAUGAUGUGAUCACAUGAUCAGAUCUAAAGAUAGAUUAUCAUAUGAAUUUCAGCAAUAAGGCUAGGGCUGGAUCCGAAUAUCCGGAAUAUCCGAAUAUUCGUUCGCUACGGCGGUAUCCGGAUAUUAAUUUUGGUAUCCGAAUAUUCACCAAAAUUUGGACCCGGGAGACCAAACGAACAGAUCUGAAUAUUCGGGCCGUCUCCGCCACCCCCCACCCCCCCGUCGGACGUUACGGGGCGGAACGAAUAUUCGGAUAUUCGUCUUUAAUAGGGCCCGAAUAUUCAGAGGCCAGAAACCACUAUUCGGGCCAGCCCUACAUUAGGCCUCCGACUUUACGGUUACAACACCUGCAUCUCACUAGAAGAUCCAGUCUUCUAAUAAUGACAUGGUAUGGCUUUCCAACAUAAGGUCUGUAAAAUGUUUUAAGUGUGUGUGUGAAUGCAAUGUGCUUCUGUAAUAUUAACCACAUUAAAAAGGUAAAAAACUC